RNAcentral lists this long non-coding RNA (1054 nucleotides) under Equus caballus (horse). RNAcentral describes it as "lncRNA (ENSECAG00000050500.1)". Lineage: Eukaryota; Metazoa; Chordata; Mammalia; Perissodactyla; Equidae. The record is from RNAcentral.
AGGAUUUUUGGAGGGAAAAGCAAUAUUACACAAGAAAACCACAUUUUCUCUUGUUUGUUACCAAAAUAUCUAGAGAAGCCAUAUCCACCUGCCUUUUUGUGGCUAACAGGGGUCUGAGCCCAUAAACUGACUGAGGAACAAAUCUUGUCCGUCGGGGGAGAAAACCAGUCAGCUGGGGGUUAAGUGGAUGGGAGGGUGGAGACGCCUCAGGAAAAACCUGCCAGAGCUGUAAAGGGUCAGAGCUUCAAACGGGAGUGAAAAAGCAGGGGGAAGUUAGAACUGAGCUCUCUUGCUUUCAAAUUCAAAAAUUUUCAGAUUUGCUUCAAACGUAUACUUAAGAACUCUAGGGGCCAGCCCUGUGGCCCGGUGGCCGAGUGGUUAAGUUCACACGCUCCGCUUAGAUGGCCCACGGUUUUGCCAGUUUGGAUCCUGGGCACGGACCUAGCACCACUCGUCAGGCCAUGCUGAGGUGGCGUCCCACAUAGCACAACUAGAAGGACCUACAACGAAGAUAUACAACUACAUACUAGGGGGCUUUGGGGAGAAAAAGAAGAAGAAAAAAAGAGAUUGGCAACAGAUGUUAGCUCAUGGCCAAUCUUAAAAAAAAACACCUCUAAUCCGUAAAAAUCUCCAUCCUUGAACUGGAAGAACAGGACACUGGAUCCCUCUUUCUCCUGGAUCAUCUUCUCUCCUGGAUCACCUUCUCUCCUGGAUCACCCUCUCUCCUGGAUCGCCCUCUGUCCUGGAUCACCCUCUCUCCUGGAUCAUCUUCUCUCCUGGAUCACCCACUCUCCUGGAUCACCCUCUCUCCUGGAUCACCUUCUCUCCUGGAUCACCUUCUCUCCUGGAUCACCCUCUCUCCUGGAUCGCCCUCUCUCCUGGAUCACCCUCUCUCCUGGAUCAUCUUCUCUCCUGGAUCACCCACUCUCCUGGAUCACCCUCUCUCCUGGAUCAUCUUCUCUCCUGGAUCACCCUCUCUCCUGGAUCACUCUCUCUCCUGGAUCACCCUCUCUCCUGAAUUACCCUCUCUCCUGGAUCACCCUCUCUCCUGGAU